CCGACAUGGAUAGUCCCAGGAGGUCCCUCUCCCUGCUCUGUCCAGGUAGCAGAGGGCUCUGCCCUGUGAUGUAUAGUCCUGCACCACAGCGCUGGCCAUCAGACCGGCCCUUGAGUCUGCGCCUGCAUCUUCCUAUAGCUUCUCAGAGUCCUGUGGACAGUGACUGAGGAGACAAACCAUGAGGAAGCAGCC
This 192-nucleotide small nucleolar RNA is filed under the name Echinops telfairi (small Madagascar hedgehog). RNAcentral's name for it is "Small nucleolar RNA SNORA73 family (ENSETEG00000023604.1)". It matches the Rfam family "Small nucleolar RNA SNORA73 family". From Rfam's summary of the family: U17 (SNORA73A and SNORA73B) also known as E1 belongs to the H/ACA class of small nucleolar RNAs (snoRNAs). Vertebrate U17 is intron-encoded and ranges in length from 200-230 nucleotides, longer than most snoRNAs. It is one of the most abundant snoRNAs in human cells and is essential for the cleavage of pre-rRNA within the 5' external transcribed spacer (ETS). Lineage: Eukaryota; Metazoa; Chordata; Mammalia; Afrosoricida; Tenrecidae. The record is from RNAcentral.